Molecule: long non-coding RNA, 378 nt
Filed under: Brachypodium distachyon (stiff brome)
Lineage: Eukaryota; Viridiplantae; Streptophyta; Magnoliopsida; Poales; Poaceae
Description: long non-coding RNA (BDIS_LNC005611)
Source: RNAcentral
CUAUAUGUUAUAAAAGAGAGUCAAAUGGGUUUUUACAAUCUUUAAUUCCAUUUGAGCAUUUCCAAAUACUAGUACCAUAUUUGAAUUCUCAUAUUUCUCAGCUCUUCAAAAUGAUAUUUGAAUUUUGAAUCAAAAGCUAUUUGCAAAAGACAAAACAGAAAAAGGAAAAAGAAAAGAAAACUUACCUCAGGCCCGAGCCGGCCCAGCAGCCGCCUCAGCCCAAUCUCUCGCGCGCCCCGCAACCCCGCCGCGGCCCCGUUUCUUCCGCACGCGCCGCGUUCCGCCUUCUCGCAUCGAAAGCGCAUUCUCAGAAAUGCACCUUGUCUCACAAGGGGUUCUUCCCUCUGCUUUUCUUCUUCCUGGCCAGUGAGCCCCCCC